RNAcentral lists this ribosomal RNA (290 nucleotides) under Boophis quasiboehmei. RNAcentral's name for it is "partial 16S ribosomal RNA". It matches the Rfam family "Bacterial large subunit ribosomal RNA", at positions 2199 to 2565 of the family's 2925-position model. Lineage: Eukaryota; Metazoa; Chordata; Amphibia; Anura; Mantellidae. The record is from RNAcentral.
CCCGCUCAUUCUAUACCCCAUUAUUUGCCCGACCCCUGUCUGCUCAGUUUUAGGUUGGGGUGACCACGGAGUAUAAAAUAACCUCCAUGAAGAAGGGGAUAUUUCCCUUAUUAGAGAACCACACUUCCAAGAACUAAUAAAUUAAUUUUCAAUGACCCGAUACCCGAUAAUCGAUCAACGAACCAAGUUACCCUGGGGAUAACAGCGCANUCCACCCUGAAAGCCCUUAUUAACAGGUGGGUUUACGACCUCGAUGUUGGAUCAGGGUAUCCCAGUGGUGCAGCAGCUAC